Molecule: unclassified non-coding RNA, 485 nt
Filed under: Hevea brasiliensis (rubber tree)
Lineage: Eukaryota; Viridiplantae; Streptophyta; Magnoliopsida; Malpighiales; Euphorbiaceae
Source: RNAcentral
GGGUCACAAAAUCUUCUUUCUUCCAUUGAAAACAUCAUUCCAGGGGGAAGCCAGUCACUAGCUUCCAACUGUCCCUGCGAAAUCGUGUCGGAAAUAAACUCUUUGGUAAACGAAGAACAAGAGAGUGGUCUCGCAAGCCAAGUCAGGACAGCUCAAAGUUGUCGAAAGAAUAACCUCGAUCGAUCGAACAGUUUGAGUCUGAAGAAAGGCACCAAGAAGGUGAAUGAGUCGGUGAAGGUUCACACAACAGGUGCUGCACAAAGGCCGGGCAAGAAAAAUGGAAUCGUCGGGCGGUUGAAUUCGAGGACGGAGCUAGCUGAAGCUUGGCGUUGAACGAACUGAACGGUAUUACACGCAUCACACAUGGUUCUCUCUCUUUCAUUUUAUGCUGGUGGGGAGUGGUGAUAACUGUUUAAAAUAUGGCCUUUUGAUUUUGUUGCUGUUGAGAUGGUGUGUAUGAGUUUUAUAUAUACAUUCAAAUGUGC